This 2307-nucleotide small RNA is filed under the name Histoplasma capsulatum. RNAcentral describes it as "hypothetical RNA". The record is from RNAcentral. Lineage: Eukaryota; Fungi; Ascomycota; Eurotiomycetes; Onygenales; Ajellomycetaceae.
GGUUCAUACCCAUUUGAUUCCACAACAUUCGCUGCGCUUGUAUCAUGCUCUCCAACAAAAGGUGGCCGUCCACUGGGGGAAUUGGAAGCUGGCAAGUGUCCACUGGUGCCGCUUUGCCCCAGAAGACGAUCGUGAGGGUCAUAGGCAUCGCCAUUCAAACUUGACGAAAUAGACGACGAAUCGGUAUCACUAUUUUCGUAAAAGCCACCCUGGAGCCUCACUCCAUCAGCUCUAACCGUCGCAGUAGCAUCAUCGCUAUUAUCGAGAGCGUUGCCCGCUCCACUCGACGCUACAUUUCCACGUAAAGCAGAAUGAGGGGAGAAGCUUUCAAGAGAGCUCAUUCAAAAAACCGAGAUGCCAGUCCAAUCCCUCAAGAUCCAAGUCGCCAGCAUCGGGCAAGAGUAUUCAUGUGCCACGGAAAGUCACCUAGGUGACUCAUUUCUUUGCUGCUUUUGUGAGGGAUUUAAAUAAGCGACAAGGGGGAAUUAAAAAUAUAAAAAAGCAAAAAUAAAAGCGGAGAAAUAUCACCGCCAUUGCCGAUGAGCCUAUCCCCAGACGCAGGCAGGAGGAAUUCAAGGUUAACCAGACUCCGCUAAAAGCGCCACCCGAGAGCAUUAUAAAUAUUGCCUGACUUGGUUAGUUAGUUAAUUAUAUCAUCGAAACCAUUUCGUCAUAAUUAGGUCAUGUCGAUAAAAACUAAGUUAGCGUCCAUGGCCAGUGUGAUUUCACAGCCCACGACAUGCUAAAUUGAUUUGAGCCUGGAAUCUAGCUACCAAAUCGGUGUAGACUGGGAUAUGAUUGACAUACCAUGGCGCUCAAAAAAUCUCAUCAGCAGGGAAAGAAGUUAGCUAAAACGAGCAAGCACACGACAGCCCUCUAGAGAUAUCUAGGUUCAAUAUACGUCCACCUAACAACCAAUCAUAUCUAUGAAUAUCCGUUUAAAGAAAAGCUGAAUAAAAUAUUUUACGAACCCAGCGUGCUGUGUUCGGGAGACUAACGGCGGAGAGAAUAUUCAACGUAUGAACCAACAUAUAACGAAGAUGCGUCCUUGGAACAACACUAAUACUUUGGAUACCCCCAACUCACCGAAACAAUCCCACCAUUCCCAUCCUAGACACUGAGAUAGUUUCCCACCCCAGCACACUUCAUCGUCACAAGCAGGAAUGCAUCUCACGAUAGGAAUGAACCCUCAACGCUUACUCUUCACCGUCUGUCCGCACUCCCAAGACUCUCCCGCUUCUAACGUCUGCCACCCCAUCACAGAACCCGCCUCAACACAUAUCAUAUUCUUAUAGCCGUCAUCAGGGGCGAAAUCGGCCAUUCCUUUCGCCUUCUCGAUCCAAGGAUUCCAGACCACGAUGUCAUUAAGAGAUUCGCGGUAGAUGGAGAAAACGGGGUUGUUGUCGUCGUCUGCGACGACGAUUGGAACUGUUGGGUUAAGAGAUUGAUAGACCCGAUCUAUUUCUUGGGUGAUUGCAAGGGCCGGGGAAGAUUCGACGUGGGUUGAUGCGUUGAGAAUUUUGUCGACGUAUGUUUUGGAUUGGAGGUUUAGAAUGCGGAUUUUUGUGAUGUCCUUUGGCACAAUUUUAGCCAAAAUAGCUUCGCGUGAUCACGCUGGGGUGGUUAAAGGUUUGGCAGAUAGUUGUAAUACAGCCGAUAGAGGUUUAAAAAAAAAAGUGUGACCACAACAUACCUCAACCUUGAAGUACGAAUGGAGCAGAACCUGAAACUCAAAUGGUUGUGAUCCCUUAUUCUGGACCUGCAGGGACGUUCCCAGACUGCCCUUGCUCAACGUGACACUGUACACCAGUCCAAAAUCAUUCGGCCAAUCGCUUUUGAAUUUGUCACUCAACAUGCCUGCUGACAAGCCAAAGUCAAGCUUAACACUGCUAUCGCCAUUCUGUCCCUCCGAUUCCGAAGUUGAUUUCCCCAGGAAUUCCCAAUAUGAGUUACGAGCAAAUCCGUGCUGGGGAAGCGCGGAAGUCGCAUGGUCCUUAGGCGGGGGGCCGAAAACCUGUAAUUUGUUGUAUAAAGCGUGGAAGUCAGCAAUUUUGCAAAUUCAAUUGGGGUGCCGUUUGGCUUGACAGCGCGUCUCUGUACGAUUGAAGUCAUACAAAUGUAUAAUCAAUGGUGAGCGGAAUUGAAGAUCUGGGUGUCACGAACAGGAAAAACCAACGGGAUACCCCCACGGAUGGGUUUAGAGCCAUCCAAAACGGCUUUUUUGCUCAGAAAUAGCUGCUCGUCGCCAUUGGCAAGUUUCCAUGACACGACUGUGGCUCCCAAAAGAUUGACGAUGACGGAGUCGCC